UCUAUAAGAGUAACUUCUACAAUCUCAGCCUAAAGAUUCUUAAGUUAUGAGUCUGUCAGUCAACUCAGACAGGUUCAUUGUUGUCAAACUGGUAGCGAGCCCUGCCUCCUUAAUCUGACAGAAAGGCUGUCACAGGUGAACUGAUUUCCAAGCAAGCAUGUACUUUCACACAUGAGCUUUAAGGAGGAGUGACACCAUGGGAAUUUGACCUGACGUGCCUGGUGGACAAGAGAUGGACUAGAAUCACAGUUUGUAGCUGUUAAAAUCUAAGGCUAUAUUCGGAGAAGUUUCCACCAAAGUGAAAAAAUGGCAGGACCACGAGCAUCUGAACUCAGGAUUGUGAUGUUUGGAAAAGUCAAAAUGAGAAGACAACUCUA
Molecule: long non-coding RNA, 377 nt
Organism: Lates calcarifer (barramundi perch)
Lineage: Eukaryota; Metazoa; Chordata; Actinopteri; Centropomidae
Exons: 4
Source: RefSeq, a predicted model, not a curated record